RNAcentral lists this long non-coding RNA (166 nucleotides) under Neodiprion lecontei (redheaded pine sawfly). Its description in RNAcentral is "uncharacterized LOC124294679, transcript variant X1". The record is from RNAcentral. Lineage: Eukaryota; Metazoa; Arthropoda; Insecta; Hymenoptera; Diprionidae.
CGGUGAAAGAGCGUGUGUGCCAGACAGAUCGAUACAUACGUAUAGCGUAUAUCAUUAUCGUGCCAUUCCAAAUACGCAACAGUUGCUCAUUGACGUGAUAAAAAUAUAAGAAACAUAAAACAAUCAAAAAAUAAUUGAUUGAACAAAUGAACAAAUAAAUAAAUAA